UCGACGAGGCAUUUACACGGAAUCCCUCGGGAGGAAGUGUGAAUGACUGAGUGGCGGACGGGUGAGUAACGCGUGGGCAACCUGCCCCGUACCGGGGGAUAACAGCCGGAAACGGCUGCUAAUACCGCAUAUGCUUUGCGGGCCGCAUGGCCCGCAAAGCAAAACUCCGGUGGUACGGGAUGGGCCCGCGUCUGAUUAGCUGGUUGGCGGGGUAACGGCCCACCAAGGCGACGAUCAGUAGCCGGCCUGAGAGGGCGGCCGGCCACAUUGGGACUGAGACACGGCCCAGACUCCUGCGGGAGGCAGCAGUGGGGAAUAUUGCACAAUGGGGGAAACCCUGAUGCAGCGACGCCGCGUGGGCGAGGAAGUACCUCGGUAUGUAAAGCCCUAUCAGCAGGGAAGAAACAGGACAGUACCUGACUAAGAAGCCCCGGCUAACUACGUGCCAGCAGCCGCGGUAAUACGUAGGGGGCAAGCGUUAUCCGGAUUCACUGGGCGUAAAGGGAGCGCAGGCGGCAUGGCAAGUCUGAUGUGAAAACCCGGGGCCCAACCCCGGGAGUGCAUUGGAAACUGCCAGGCUGGAGUGUCGGAGGGGUAAGCGGAAUUCCUAGUGUAGCGGUGACAUGCGUAGAUAUUAGGAGGAACACCAGUGGCG
RNAcentral lists this ribosomal RNA (655 nucleotides) under uncultured bacterium. RNAcentral describes it as "bacterial SSU rRNA". It matches the Rfam family "Bacterial small subunit ribosomal RNA", at positions 39 to 717 of the family's 1533-position model. The record is from RNAcentral.